GAAUAAUGUAAAUAGAGCACUCCUUGAUGAUUUGCCUCAAAACAGGAGCAUGCAAGAUAUUGAUUACUGUUCUUCAACCAGCUGUUGCGGAAGGCACUGAAACCACUGAGGACUGACUGGGCCUCAGGCCACUGCUGGAGUCAAUGCUGCCGCUCCCGCUGCUCAGGCCUCUGAAUGGCAUGGAGUCCAACCAUUCAUGUUUGAGGAUGUUCUAUUCCCUGUGUUCCUUCAGCAACUGUAUUUUUAGAACUUCUAAACUGUGUAAAACAUCAUUUAGCAGGAAGCACAAGUGAAGACAUGCAAAGGCAAGUUAAAUACCUAUGAUUUUUUUUUCCAUUUAUAUUGAUCUAAUACCAGACCACCUGACCUGCCUCUUGAGAAACCUGUAUUCAGGUCAGGAAGCAACAGUUAGAACUGGACAUGGAACAACAGACUGAUUCCAAAUUGGAAAAGGAGUACGUCAAGGCUGUAUAUUGUCACCCUGCUUACUUAGCUUCUAUGCAGAAUAUAUCAUGAGAAGUGCUGGGCUGGA
This 532-nucleotide long non-coding RNA is filed under the name Bos indicus x Bos taurus (hybrid cattle). RNAcentral describes it as "lncRNA (ENSBIXG00005030964.1)". The record is from RNAcentral. Lineage: Eukaryota; Metazoa; Chordata; Mammalia; Artiodactyla; Bovidae.